RNAcentral lists this long non-coding RNA (736 nucleotides) under Calidris pugnax (ruff). RNAcentral's name for it is "lncRNA (ENSCPUG00000007406.1)". The record is from RNAcentral. Lineage: Eukaryota; Metazoa; Chordata; Aves; Charadriiformes; Scolopacidae.
GGGGGACACAUGCUGGGGACGUGGGGACCUUCUGGGGACAUGGGGACCUGCUGGGGACCUGCUGGGGAGAUAGGGGGACACAUGUGGGAUGUAUGGGGACCUUCUGGGGACAUGGGGACCUUCUGGGGACGUGGGGGUGGCAGAAGGACUCCAAGAGGACCCACAGAUGGCAGGAGAACCCCAAGGAGACACAGGGACCUUCUGGGGACAUGGGGUGGCAGGGGGACCCUCUGGGGACAUGGGGACCUUCUGGGGACGUGGGGGUGGCAGGAGGACCCAAGGGGACCCGCAGGUGGCAGGAGGACCCCAAGGAGACACAGGGACCUUCUGGGGACAUGGGGUGGCAGGAGGACCCCAAGGGGACAUAAGGACCUUCUGGGGACAUGGGGGUGGCAGGAGGACCCCAAGGGGACACAGGGACCUUCUGGGGACAUGGGGGUGGCAGGAGGACCCCAAGGGGACACAGGGACCUUCUGGGGACAUGGGGACCCUCUGGGGACAUGGGGGUGGCAGGAGGACCCCAAGGGACAUGGGGGUGGCAGGAGGACCCCAAGGGGACACAGGGACCUUCUGGGGACAUGGGGAACCUCUGGGGACAUGGGGGUGGCAGGAGGACCCCAAGGGACAUGGGGAGCUUCUGGGGACCUGGUUGUGGCAGGAGGACCCCAGGAGGACAUGGGGGUGGCAGGAGGACCCCAAGGGACAUGGAGACCCUCUGGAGAUGUGGCAGUGGCAG